Cyprinus carpio carpio is the source of this 1355-nucleotide long non-coding RNA. The record is from Ensembl. NCBI's taxonomy places the organism in Eukaryota, Metazoa, Chordata, Actinopteri, Cypriniformes, Cyprinidae.
ACAUGAUCUGGAGAGGUUCACUUCACUUCCAACAUCCUCAUGUGAACACUACGGUCACAAUACUUGAUUCAGUGCGACGUCCAGGGUUAACAUAAGUGCAUGUACUUUGCUUUGGGAUUGAAACGCUUCUGCAUUGAACUGUAUUGAACAAGGUGCAAAUGCAGGGACCAUGGACCCUGAUAAAUAUUUAAAUGUGUACUUGAGUGAGUUACAACCCAUUUGGAAAGUCUGGAAGCAGUAGAAGGAAAUUUUAUGCAUCUUUUCAAACUCCAUCCUUCAUGAAAGGGAUGUGGUUGGAAGGACUGAAUCAGGCGGCCAGACAAGUUUAAACCAUGGCAUGAAAUGACUUUGAUAGGCCAGACUGCUGCAUUUUUACUUUACAAGCAUGGCAUGAACAGACUGGAAUGUUCGGCUGUGGCUGAUGAAGUACAAGCUCACACACGUGGAGACGUGGGCCCAGAAUGCAUUGGCUUAGGGUUUGACGUUUUUAGUGCUCCGGACACCUUGUGAGACAGCGGAUCUCCACUAAAUCCUUUCAUUUGAACUUCCAUGCUAGAUUAAUUUGUUUUGACAACUCUAUCAAAAAAAAAUAAAAAAAAAUAAUUGCACACUUAUUACACAAUGUCUCAUUGAAAAUGGCAGAAAGGCCAUGCUGUGCAAUGAAAUGCGACUGGAAAAUAAGUGACUACUAUAUCGAUCAGAAAUGGAAGUGGAAAUUUGUAUCUACAGGUCAAUGUACUUACAUGACAAGGACAUUAAUGCACUGAUGUGUUGCUCAGCAUGCAAUGAAAAAUAUGACACAGAUUAGAAAUGCUAGCAAUUUGAGACACCUUGUGUGUUUGGAACAGAUGGAUUUUCCUCAUUGACAAGGUCAUAGUCUGCCCAUGUCAACACAUCUUGAUGUUUAAUAUGCAUCUCUAUCAUGUGCACUUCAAAAGAAAAGAGUUAAAUGGUGUUUAUUCUGUAGUCAAUUGAUUCUGUGGCCUCACAUGAGGAUGAAAUAUUAGCAGGCUGGUCAGCGGAUUUGGCGAUUUAUGGAUGCAGUGCAAUAAUACGUGCAAAAGUAUAAUUAAUACAAACUUUCCAUUCCAAAUUAUAUUAUUAGCAUAACAAAUGAAGUUGAAAGUUGAAUCGAAAAUGAACAAGAAUGUCUUUGGUGUGUAUCUCUGAUGAUGAAGCAUCUUGAGCUUCAUCGACCGUCUGUACAAAGAGUCACGUGAUCAAUGUCGCUCAUUUACUUGCAUUUUAGUAGUGACCUAGAAAUAGUUCCUCUUCAUUAAAUGUCAUAAGUUUCGGUGUACUUUCAGGUUUAGGUGGAAAUGUGGUCUGAGGCUUUUAAAACCCCAUUAUACGUU